RNAcentral lists this ribosomal RNA (460 nucleotides) under uncultured bacterium. Its description in RNAcentral is "partial 16S ribosomal RNA". It matches the Rfam family "Bacterial small subunit ribosomal RNA", at positions 338 to 795 of the family's 1533-position model. The record is from RNAcentral.
CCUACGGGUGGCAGCAGUGAGGAAUAUUGGUCAAUGGGCGUAAGCCUGAACCAGCCAAGUCGCGUGAGGGAUGAAUGUUCUAUGGAUCGUAAACCUCUUUUAUAAGGGAAUAAAGUGUGGGACGUGUCCUAUUUUGUAUGUACCUUAUGAAUAAGGAUCGGCUAACUCCGUGGCAGCAGCCGCGGUAAUACGGAGGAUCCGAGCGUUAUCCGGAUUUAUUGGGUUUAAAGGGUGCGUAGGUGGCCUUUUAAGUCAGCGGUGAAAGUUUGUGGCUCAACCAUAGAAUUGCCGUUGAAACUGGGGGUCUUGAGUAUGUUUGAGGCAGGCGGAAUGCGUGGUGUAGCGGUGAAAUGCUUAGAUAUCACGCAGAACCCCGAUUGCGAAGGCAGCCUGCCAAGCCGUGACUGACGCUGAUGCACGAAAGCGUGGGGAUCAAACAGGAUUAGAUACCCUGGUAGUC